RNAcentral lists this long non-coding RNA (977 nucleotides) under Erythranthe guttata (spotted monkey flower). RNAcentral's name for it is "long non-coding RNA (EGUT_LNC000656)". The record is from RNAcentral. Lineage: Eukaryota; Viridiplantae; Streptophyta; Magnoliopsida; Lamiales; Phrymaceae.
UUUUCUAUUUUCUUUCUUCUUUUCUUAUAGCCCUUUUACUAUCCAAACGGCGCCGUUCCUUUCUCUCCCUCCAAUCACAAGCCAGCAUUCUUUUCUUUUUGUUGAAUUCUGGAAGCAGCUCGAUUCCGAAAAUCCUCGGUGUGGCCCCGUUUACUCAAUUUCUUUUCGCUUUUCUUUUUCUUUUUUCCAUUCUCCAAUGGGGAGGCGGCGUUGAUGCUCGCCGACGCUGGAUGCAGCGAGCCCCUCUCGUGGUCGGCUAUCGCAGGGCGGUAGUGCAUGAGCUUUUGAGAGAGGCGGCGCCGGAGAUCGAGGUGAGAGGAGAAGUCGGCCCAGCCCGUAGGUGAAGAUCGCCAUCUCUCAUAUGAAAAACAAUUUAAUUAAAUAAAAUUAAAUCUGAGCUCGUUUUUUCUGUAACGCCCCUCCGCCUCAUUUUCGCUCUCAAUUCCGAGCAACGGCGGCACUGAUUCAAGGUUAGUUCAUAUAUUCAUUGUUAAUGAGUAUCGAAUUUUUGUUUUAUCGUAUUCUUUUAGCUUUUUUUGGAAUUGAAAAGGGAUACCGUUUAGUUAUUUUUAAUCAAAGUUGGAUUUUUUUAUCCUAAUUGUGGAAUUGAUCCCAAAAAUGGUAUGUGCAUUAGGUUGGGCCGCCAUUCUUUUCUUUUUGUUUAAUUCUGGAAGCAGCUCUGCAGAACAUCCUACCUGAGUUAAUGGAGGCGUGGCGGCGGCUGCCGUCGGAGGAGGCAACAGAGUUGGUGGACAUUCGGCUGGGAAACAGAGGUCGACAUAUUUGCCGGAGUGGCUUGCCCCUUCUCUAUGCCCACCAAGUCAACAAAAUAAUUUUCCAUACUAGGCGAUCUCUGGCUCUUGGUCAUAAAUUUAAAUUUCGAAUAUCACGAACUAUCGAUUAGUAAGAUUAAUAUAAAUGGGUAUGAAACAAUCAUAGUACCCACUUUUCUGCAGUUUUUUUGGCUUUUGUUUGGC